RNAcentral lists this ribosomal RNA (435 nucleotides) under uncultured bacterium. RNAcentral's name for it is "partial 16S ribosomal RNA". It matches the Rfam family "Bacterial small subunit ribosomal RNA", at positions 28 to 507 of the family's 1533-position model. The record is from RNAcentral.
GAUGAACGCUGGCGGUAUGCUUAACACAUGCAAGUCGAACGGACUCUUCGGAGUUAGUGGCGGACGGGUGAGUAACGCGUGAGAAUCUGGCUUUGGGUUCGGGACAACCACUGGAAACGGUGGCUAAUACCGGAUGUGCCGAGAGGUAAAAGAGAAAUUGCCUGAAGAUGAGCUCGCGUCUGAUUAGCUUGUUGGUGAGGUAAAGGCUCACCAAGGCAGCGAUCAGUAGCUGGUCUGAGAGGAUGACCAGCCACACUGGGACUGAGACACGGCCCAGACUCCUACGGGAGGCAGCAGUGGGGAAUUUUCCGCAAUGGGCGAAAGCCUGACGGAGCAAUACCGCGUGAGGGAAGAAGGCUCUUGGGUUGUAAACCUCUUUUCUUAGGGAAGAACAAAAUGACGGUACCUAAGGAAUCAGCAUCGGCUAACUCCGUG